Molecule: ribosomal RNA, 253 nt
Filed under: uncultured bacterium
Lineage: Bacteria
Description: partial 16S ribosomal RNA
Rfam family: Bacterial small subunit ribosomal RNA
Source: RNAcentral
UACGUAGGGGGCGAGCGUUGUCCGGAUUUAUUGGGCGUAAAGAGCGUGUAGGCGGCCAGGUAGGUCCGUUGUGAAAACUCGAGGCUCAACCUCGAGACGUCGAUGGAAACCAUCUGGCUAGAGUCCGGAAGAGGAGAGUGGAAUUCCUGGUGUAGCGGUGAAAUGCGCAGAUAUCAGGAAGAACACCUAUGGCGAAGGCGGCUCUCUGGGACGGUACUGACGCUGAGACGCGAAAGCGUGGGGAGCGAACAGG